GAGAGACGACUGGCUUUAACAGACAAAUGCAGCGCAGAGUCAGCUCAGCACAGACUGCAGGGUAAAAGAGCUUCUGAGAGCCCGCAGAGCUGUUGUGUAAGACUGGAUGGAUGACAGAAUGUGAAAGAGCGGGAGAGAAGGAGAG
Molecule: long non-coding RNA, 145 nt
Filed under: Astyanax mexicanus (Mexican tetra)
Lineage: Eukaryota; Metazoa; Chordata; Actinopteri; Characiformes; Acestrorhamphidae
Description: lncRNA (ENSAMXG00005011374.1)
Source: RNAcentral